RNAcentral lists this ribosomal RNA (115 nucleotides) under Escherichia coli. Lineage: Bacteria; Pseudomonadati; Pseudomonadota; Gammaproteobacteria; Enterobacterales; Enterobacteriaceae. The record is from RNAcentral. RNAcentral also lists the same sequence under 15 other names.
UGGCGGCCUUAGCGCGGUGGUCCCACCUGACCCCAUGCCGAACUCAGAAGUGAAACGCCGUAGCGCCGAUGGUAGUGUGGGGUCUCCCCAUGCGAGAGUAGGGAACUGCCAGACA